This is a long non-coding RNA of Amblyraja radiata (thorny skate), 259 nucleotides long. RefSeq lists it as uncharacterized. The transcript has 3 exons. NCBI's taxonomy places the organism in Eukaryota, Metazoa, Chordata, Chondrichthyes, Rajiformes, Rajidae. The record is from RefSeq and is a predicted model, not a curated record.
AGAAGGUUCAAUUUGGUGUACCCCAGGGGACUGUCAUGGGUCCAUUUCUCUUCCUACUGUAUAUCAAUGACAUUCCAAAUGCAGUUUAGUCCAGAGUUCGACUCUUCGCAGAUGAUGCCAUAAUUUAUAGAGAGAUUAAAACACCAGAAGACAGCUUGUCCUUAGAGAAGGAUCUGGAUGCUCUCUGUAAGUGGGGGAAAACCUGGCAGAAGUCAUUCAAUACAACCAAAUGUCAUACCAUGCAUGUCUCACACAAGAU